UACACCUGUUUCUCACUAGAACCGGAAAACGGAGGUGAUGAAUUCGAAGAUACCGGUAGCUGAAAAAUGAAGUUGACCUCUGGUUACAUGACAAAGCACUCCGGCAUAUUAAAAAGCAAGGCACUCAUCCAACACAAGAGGCACUUGGACCAGGAAACAGAGUUGCUACGUCAUCACUUAGCAAGCUGCACUAAUGUAUACCUAAAAAAUGAUGAGAUAAACCAUGGUUUCAUUCAGCAACUCCGUCCCAACACCUCCCUCAGAAGGUCCAAGAGCAGGGAUGGUAUGGAGGAAGCUGUUGUUUACCAAGAUAAGCUGCCCAUUGUCUCUGGUGGGAAUUCCCUGUGGGAGAGAGCGCCACGGGAACACGACUUCGGCAUGGCAUGAGAAACUAACCGCAGAGCUGCUAGACUCACGUGGUGGGGCUUCUGUCUAUCCACUGGGAUCUGGUGCCAGGGGUAAGAUGGUCAUCCCCUGGGACAGCGAGAGAUGAACACGUCGAGGACGAUAAUUGAUCUGCAUGCAUGCACUGGAUUAGGAGACAUUGAUGGCAAUUUGUUAAGGUGACUGUGAGUAAUUCAAACUGGUCCACAGUCCUUUGGGUCUCAUUAGCUGAAGAAGGCUGAAGAUAUGCUCUGUAGACCUUUACUAAAACCACUGGCAGAAAAACGGGCCAUCUUUGUCCUUGAUCAUGCAUUAAUGCUUUCAUUUACACAGCAGUGUUUGUUACACAUUUGAUAACAAUGUAUCAGAGAGUAAGUGAAUACUGCUAACUGAUCCGUAAAUUUGCCCUCUUCACACAACUAACUAUGAAAGUGCAAAAUAACUUGAGG
Molecule: long non-coding RNA, 833 nt
Organism: Oreochromis niloticus (Nile tilapia)
Lineage: Eukaryota; Metazoa; Chordata; Actinopteri; Cichliformes; Cichlidae
Exons: 5
Source: RefSeq, a predicted model, not a curated record